UAGAAGUAACAUAGAUAAUGCUAUUGUUAACAAUCUUUGGCUUGUGCGAUAUAUUGACUAUAAUAAUAUCAUUACACUAUUUCAACGAAUUCUAUAUUUAGCUGUGGAAUACUUAUCAGCUCGUUAUCAAUGUUAAUUUGCACCAUCACUACACGGAGAAAUAAAUCUGUAUUGUAGAAGAUCUGUUUUCUUUUUUUUACUUUUAUAUUAAUUUGUUAAUAAAAUAAUGAAUUCAAAAUUAUUUUUUAUCUUUAAACUAAAAAAUCCUGAAACAGCGGUGACUUCUAAUCAAAUAAGCAUCCAGCUUGAAUAUUGCUAAUAGUAACGUAACAAAUAAAUUGGUUAUCGUUACUAAAGAUAAAUAAAAUAAACCUAUAUAUGAGAUUACUUCUAUAGGCAACUCGAAAUUUGAUUUAGAUGAUUUACAGUCUGGUCCAAAAAGAUCCAUAUUAAAGGUAAAUCAUGUAUAAAACUGACAACAUAAUAUUUACAUUGUAUGUUAAGUAUAUAUUUUAAUUGCUAUUAAGCCUAUUAUAGGAACAGUGUACUUAUAUGAAUCUUUGGCAUUGGUUAUUCGUCAUCUUCCCGGCGGUUGUCAGUAGUUGUUACACGAAUCAAAAGGAUAUAAAUAUUUGGAUUUUGUUAGUUACAUAUGUAUCUCUAUACACCUGUUAUGAAAUAAUUUUUAGGUCCAUUCUUUAUAUAUUAUACAGGAGUGUCAAAUUUAUUUAUUUAAAUGGCAGCAUACAUAUUAAACUAGUUUAUAAUAUAGAAUAUUAUCUAAUUAAGAAAAUAACUAUCGACAAUAACUUUUGGAUUAAUACUUUGAAAGUUAUUAGAAUUUUAAAAUAUAGUACUGAUGGUGAAGCGUAGUUACUGCUAUUUUUAUCAUUAUUUAUUCUUUGGUCACAUUUCUUCUGCCACCUAAGUACAAAAAUUAGAAUAUCUUCCAAAGCACUGGUCUAAAAGUUCUUGUUUUAAAUUACAAAUACCAUUUCCAUUAACAUAACCAUGGCUUCAUUUUAUGAGGUUAAAUAUUUUUGUGUAUGGUAUAAUUAUUGUUCAAAAAUUAACAUUUAUUAUUUGUUUUUUGUAUUUAUUAAUUAUGUGGGUCUAGAGUUCUUACAAAUGUAAAACCAACAAAACUGGAUGAUGAUGCUAUUAUUAUAUUACAAAAACUCAUUUAACUCUUAUUCCAAAAUAGACAAGACAUUAUAACGUAACUGUCAAAAAAACUGACACUAUUCAUACCCAGCUAAUAAGUCAAUCUAAACUAGAAUUUGCCCCAAAUAGGUAAUAUAUGAAAAGUCUAAUUGAUAUGACAAUUUUUUGAGUAUUCAAAGAUUGACUUGACACAAUGAAAACAGAUCAUCAUUAAAUCAAGGGAAUUUCAACAAAACCUGUGUUUUAUUUUCUAAGCAUAUACCCAUAUUUUCUGAAAUAUUUAACAAAGAAACAAAUUACACUAGUCACCAUAUUCAAAAUGAAAUAAUUGAAAUAUGUGCAAAUAGCGAAAAAGAGUAAAUAGUAUAAUGUGUGAUGAAGCAAGUUUUAGAUUUUAUAAAGAAGUACAAGUGUUUAAUUUUUAUUUGAAACUUAUAAAUUAAAUACUAAAGCUCAAAUAAUUUUACAAUCCUAUAAUAAUGGUUGGAAUUUCUGUGGAAAUAUCAUGUCUGGAAAUUUAAUGGAGUCAAUCAAGAAUAAGAAUUGGUAUGCUUUAUAGAAUAAAUCUUUUGGUUGCAGAUAGGUGCAAAAUGUUUAAAGUAAAAACCAAUAUUAAUAAAAAAUCGAAUACAAUUUUUAAUAAUAACACAAUGCAGUAAGAUGAACAUUACUUGUUGUUGAGCUUUCAGACUAAUGACAGUCAUAAAAUAUAUUUAUUAAAAUAUUAUUUUGACACGUAUGAAAUUUCAAUAAUGACCAACAACAGAAAUUU
This is a long non-coding RNA of Daktulosphaira vitifoliae (grape phylloxera), 1936 nucleotides long. RefSeq lists it as uncharacterized. The record is from RefSeq and is a predicted model, not a curated record. NCBI's taxonomy places the organism in Eukaryota, Metazoa, Arthropoda, Insecta, Hemiptera, Phylloxeridae. The transcript has 5 exons.